Molecule: ribosomal RNA, 245 nt
Filed under: uncultured bacterium
Lineage: Bacteria
Description: partial 16S ribosomal RNA
Rfam family: Bacterial small subunit ribosomal RNA
Source: RNAcentral
UACGUAGGAGGCGAGCGUUGUCCGGAAUUACUGGGCGUAAAGAGCGCGUAGGCGGUUCUGCACGACAUGUGUGAAAGCCCCCGGCUCAACUGGGGAUCGUCAUGUGUAACGGCAGGAAUCGAGAGUGCAGGAGAGGGACGUGGAACUCCGGGAGUAGCGGUGAAAUGCGUAGAGACCCGGAGGAACACCAGUGGCGAAGGCGGCGUCCUGGCCUGCGACUGACGCUGAGGCGCGAAAGCUAGGGG